GUGCUGUGAUGUCUUUACCAACACAUCAUUCUGACCCACAAUAUGGGGAAGGUUCUUGUCUAACUGAGCACA
Anguilla rostrata (American eel) is the source of this 72-nucleotide small nucleolar RNA. RefSeq annotates it as small nucleolar RNA SNORD63. The transcript has a single exon. NCBI's taxonomy places the organism in Eukaryota, Metazoa, Chordata, Actinopteri, Anguilliformes, Anguillidae. The record is from RefSeq and is a predicted model, not a curated record.